AAUUAAUUAACUUAUUUUAAAGUAUUUGUUUUGAAAACUUAAGAAAAGAUAAAUUAUCUUAUUAAUUU
RNAcentral lists this transfer RNA (68 nucleotides) under Brachycentrus kozlovi. RNAcentral's name for it is "tRNA-Ser". Lineage: Eukaryota; Metazoa; Arthropoda; Insecta; Trichoptera; Brachycentridae. The record is from RNAcentral.